RNAcentral lists this long non-coding RNA (12945 nucleotides) under Marmota monax (woodchuck). The record is from RNAcentral. Lineage: Eukaryota; Metazoa; Chordata; Mammalia; Rodentia; Sciuridae.
AAUGGUGUUAUGCUACUGGCUUUUAUAGCACUUAGAUAUAAUUCAGUAUGUCCCAGUAUGUAUGUGUUUUGCAUUAAUUUCACUUAACAAUCAUGAUGUAAAGUGACAUAGAUCAAAAGGCUGCUAAGGUGGCAUUUGGGCCUAGGUGGUCUCAAUCCAGCUCUUCUUUUGUUUGUUUUUUGUUGGUAGGACAAAAAAAUUUCCCAGCCUAUUUAUUGGCCUAGGGUAUACAGCAUCCUUGGGAAUAACCAUGUCUCAUUGAUGUAUCCUACAAAAGUAUUUGGGUUGAUCUGUUAAUAAUACAAAUCCCAUUUAUACCAUCUGUUUUUAAGAUGGAUUUUCACUCCUAUCUUCCAACUUUGUUCUUGGUCUGUCGCAUGGAAAGGUUCAUUCUUGGUUUUGUUUGGUUUUUGUACUGAAGAGCCCAGGAGCACUCUACUAUGGCCCUUAAGUUUUAUGGCAGGGUCUCACUAAGUUACUGAAACUGCCCUCAGUCUUGGAACCUUGCUUCAGUCUUAACUGAGAUUACAAGCAUGCUCCACCACACUCAGAGGUUCAUGUUUUCUCUUAAUAUUUUUUUAGUUGUUGAUGGACCUUUAACUUACUUAUCUAUAUGUGGUGCUAAAAAUUGAACCCAGUGCCUCACACAUAGUAUGAAGUGCUUUUAACACUAAAUUACAAUAUCACCCUGAAGGUUCAUAUUUUAAAAUGAGCCAGGCACAGUGGUGCAUGCCUAAAAUCCCAGUUACUCUGUAUGCUGAGGUGGGAUACUUGUGAAUUUGAGCCUACCCUGCACCUGGAGCAAGAAUUACAUCAAAAACCAAAAUCAAGGCUCUCAAAGUUGUUUGUUUCAGGAAAGUUGUUGACCUUGGACCAACCUGUAAAGCCAGUGCUUUUACCCAUUAUAGUACACCAACUUGCUAUCACUCCAUACCCUAAAUCUGCCUGCUUCCUUAAAGGCAAAAUCUUGUGAGCAUGUGACAUUUUUCACCCUGAGGAUGUUUUAAUUGGUGGUUCUGAUUAUAGAAUAUUGGGGGUUUAGAUUUCGUGAUGCUGGUGUAUAUCUGCACAUAGAAAUACACAUGAACUAGGCAUAAGUAAUGCCCAGCUGCAAGUGUAAUAGUGACACGUUACAUGCAAAUGUCAACAUCUGAAUUUAUUGAAAGUUAUGGGAAGUAUUUCCAGUCCAGGUAGAAUAAUAGGAUUCCUUUGAUAUAUUUCUACUAGCUGGGUGCAGUGGUACAUGCCUAUCCCAGCUGCUCAGGAGCUGAGGCAGAAGGAUCCCAAGUUCAAAGCCAGCCUCAGUAAAAAAGCUAGGCACUAAGCAACUCAGACCCUUACUCCAAAUAACAUAAGAAAUAGGGAUGGGGAUGUGGCUCAAUGGUUCCAAGCCCCAGCGUUCAAUCCCCAGUACUGCCCACCACCACCACCUCCACAAAAAAGAUAUCUACUAAUUUUGAGUUUCUCAAUUGGCUUCAUCUGUUAAGUUUAAAAGAUUGAAUAACCUUUUCACCCAGAUUACAAGGAUAUAUGGGAUCCCUAUGGAUUUACUAUGGAGUUGAUAAAGUUGGAUAGAGUGGUUUGAAUAUCUAGUUGCAAAUUCGUAUUACAAGCCUGUCUCCAACAGUACUAUAAUUUGUUAACUUCUGAACUGCGGGCUAUGGUGGUGCACCUGUAAUCCCAGUAGCUCAGGAGCUGAGGCAGGAGGAUCAGAGUUCAAAGCCCAGCCUCAACAAGUGAGAUGCAAAGCAACUAAAUUGAGACCCCAUUUCUAAAUAAUACAAAAUAGGGCUGGGGGUGUGGCUCUGUGGUCAACUGCCCCUGAGUUCAGUCCCCGGUACUGCAUCCCUCCACCCCUGCCAAAACAGCAUUCUGGAGUAGCGUUAUGUAAUGACAUUCUGCAUCUGCCUACUAUUCCCAAUCUGCUUUUUUCCCUAACCAACCUAUACACAAAAAUUGCCACAUCAGGGGUCUGGGGAUGUGGCUCAAGUGGUAGCACGCUCGCCUGGCAUGCGUGCGGCCCGGGUUCGAUCCUCAGCACCACAUACAAACAAAGAUGUGUCCGCCGAAAACUAAAAAUUAAAUAUUAAAAAAAUUCUCUCUUUAAAAAAAAAUUGCCACAUCACCCAAAGGAAACAGUGUAUUUGGGACAUUACAUGGAGUAUUGAAGAGGAAAUAAGUAGGAAGGUUAAUGGUAAUGGUGUGGGAAUUCUAGCUAUUAAGAACACAUUUUUAACAACCUGGAUUCCUACCUUAACCCAGAUUUUUUUUAGCUCUGAUUUAAUUUUGGGGUUGAUGGUGCAGGGGAGAGUACUGGGGAUUGAACUCAAGGACACUUAACCACCGAGUUACAUCUCCACUGCUAGACAUGCAUCACAGGCAUGUGCCACCAUUCUUGGCUUUAGUAACUCUGUUCUGUGAGCUUCCCUGUUAUCUGCCAAUUAAGGAUCUUUUUAAAGCCAGUUAAAGCUGAAUUUUCUCACAUAACAUCCAAUGAAGGUUGAGGGGGGCAGCACUCCAAGGUCAGGGUCAGUGGUCAGUCACACCCCCACACGGACAGGCUCUCGCACCAGGAGAGGGUCGGGAAAGCUCCGACACAGUUUAGCCAGAGCGCCUCACACCCAAUCCGGGAGUUGCCCAAUCGUGUGAGAAUGGCUUCCCACAGCUGAGGCUAGCUUUGGACUUUUUUGGUGGUGCAGCGCAUAUUGGGGAUUGAACUCAGGGACACCCCACCACUGGCUUUGGACUUUUGAUCCUCCUGACUCAGCCUCCCAAAUCACUGGGAUUACAGGCAUGUACCACCAUGCCUAGCAUGAAGUCUUGCCUGGAAGUAAAGGAACUCGGGGCUUUCAUACAGCAGGGCCAGCAGUGUGUUGCUUUUAAAGCUGCAGGACUGAGACUACUAAAACCAAAUAUAGUUGAUUGGAGGGUUGCUGAAUUAAAAUACUUUGUAAUCACUAGGGUCUCUUAGCAGGGCAUGAUGGCACACACCUGUGGUCCCAGUGGCUUUGGAGACAGAGGAUCACAAGUUCAAAGCCAGACUUGGCAACUUAAUAAGGCCCUCAACAACUUAGUGAGAACCCCGGCUCAAAAGGCUGGGAAUGUGACUCAAUGGUAAAGCACCUCUGGGUUAAAUCCCCAGUACAUGGGCCUCGGGAUGUGGCUCAUGUGGUAGUGUGCUUGCCUGGCAUGUGUGAGGCACUGGGAUGUUCCUCCAUGGUAGCGCGCUUGCCUGGCAUGCGUGAGGCACUGGGUUCGAUCCUUAGCACCACAUAAAAUAUAUUGUGUCCAUCUAAAACUAAAAAAUUAAGGAACCCCCAAGCCCUCUGGUAUGAUCUUUAAAGUUUUCUUUAUAAUAAGAAAUGUGUGCUUCAAUCAGGUAAACAAUUCUCAGCCCUCACUUUUCAUUACGAGGAUUUUAGCUCUGUUGCCCAGGGGAAGAAUUGUAGGUUUUGAAUAGGACAAAAUUUCAGAAGUAGUUGUUUUAUUUACAUUGUUAAAAUUAUAAAUUUCCGGGGGGUGAAUUAGGAAGAUGGAUUCAGGUUUAUUGGUUUUACCAUGCACACCAAUUUUGCUUCAGGCCAUGUGGUUUUCAACUUCUAAGCCUGGACUUAAUGAUUGAGUCUGCCAAAUGACAUCAAAAGGUAGAAUGCAUUUGAGAUGAUGUAGAGGAAUGAGAUUGCUGGAUUGGUUCCCUAUACAUUCUACUCACUGCCUUUACCUUAACAGUACCCAAAAUAUUUCUUCUUUACUAAGAGAUGAAAGUGAAAUGAGGUAUCAGGUUAUUGCAGGUCAGGUGAUGACUUAAACUCUAGGAAGCCAAUGUAGGCAAGUUAAUAAAAGCAGCAGGGUGGUCGGUGUGUGUUGAUUACAAUUAGUGUGUGAAGUGGUCUGGUAACAAAUAUUUAAAGCUGUUGGAUACUAGCUUCACAGAAUAAAGUUAAUAGAUCUUAAUUAUAUAUCAAAAAAAUGUGAACAUAGGCCUGACACAGUAGAGAUUUCUAGGCGUAAGCCUAUUGAUUGAAGAAAGCCAGACCUAAAAGGACCACAUGUAAUAAGAAUCUUCCUAGCUUUGCCAAAGCAUUCUGCAGCCAUCUACCUACCUCAGUGUUGGGAGAAAGACAUCCAAACUUACCAGCAAUAUUGAAUAUUGGGCUGGGGAUGUGGCUCAAGCGGUAGCGCGCUCGCCUGGCAUUUGUGUGGCCUGGGUUCAAUCCUCAGCACCACAUACAAAGAUGUUGUGUCCACCAAAAACAAAAAAAGAAAUAUUGAAUAUUGGCUUGUAGUUAAAUAAAUUUAUGGGAAUCAGGAACAUCACUGUCACAAAGUCAGUGGUGUUCAUGGGGACUAGAUGAAUAACACUUUGACACAUUCAUUUCACUUGACAUUCAAGUGACACAUUCAUUUCACUUGACGUUCAAGUUCUGAGUAUGUUCAACAACUAGGUGAAUCCUAGUAACCUUGGGAUACGGGCCAAAUAGAAAUUAUUCAGGCCCCUAGGGGCUCCUGGUAAAAUGCAAUCCUCAAUUUACAUGGUUUUUAAUGGUGUGAGAGUUGAAUGCAUUCAGUAUCAAUAUGCCAUAUGAUACUCUGAACAGUGCUGUCCCCCAGCAGCAACAGUGUACCAGGACUGCCAGUCAGCCAGUGAAAAGAAUGAACAACCAAUACUCUCAGUUAUGCUGUUUGGUAGGUUAGGUGUAUUAAAUACAUUUUUGACUUAAUGAUACUUGCACUUUAUGAUAGACUUAUCAGGACAUAAACCUGUAUAAAUCAUAGGAUCUAAAGUAUUAUGUCCCCAGGGGAUUGUCAAUAAUUUAGUAGUAGUUCCAGUAAAUACCUGGAAGAUGAAGGCACAAUGAUUUCUUUGCAUUAAACUCACCAGUUUGGUCAAUGCAUAAAACUCAUGGAUAUUCUAAGUAGUGAAUUUAAACAUGGGCAAUGAUUCAGAUCAUAUUACCUUAUUGGGACAAAUAUGGUCCCUAGCAUUUGACAUGUGCCUGAUAGUCUAGAGCUAUUUUCACCUUUUUGACUAACAUCCGAAACAAUAUGCAUUAAUCUGGGAAAAGAUAACAGUUCACCAUUCCACAUUACCAAGUGAUACGCUUAUCGACCACAUCUGGCCUGUGUCUUUUUGUUGUUGUUUGUUUUAUAAACCUUUAUUUUAUUUAUGUAUUUAUAUGUGGUGCUGAGAAUCGAACCCAGUGCCUCACAUGCCAUGCAAGUGCACUACUGCUGAGUCACAGCCCCAGCCCCUUAUGUUUGAUUUUUUUUUAAAGACAUAAUUGUGCCCAUUCACUAAUAUAUUGUGUAGACUUUCUACUUCAUAAAGGCAGUAAUAAGUAGUUUUGACAGAGACCGUAUGGUGCAUGCAAAACCAAAAGGGUGUUUUUGGAAAAAAAUCUAGAUCUGUUUAAUCUGGUACACAUGUCCCUGAAUUCCCAUUCUACCUGAGCCUGGUUUAUAGAUAGCUCUUUCCCCAAUAUGGCAGCAUCAGCCAGAAUCAGACUAUUUAAAUGUUGAAAGACUCCAGUAACCCUAAUAGCAGAAAAUAUAUCUUACCAUUAUAAACUAAAACCAGUAUAUGUCCUGAGUUUAUGGUUAUCUUCUAGACAGUGAAAUGAUCUCAUUAUGUAUGUAUUUAAAGGCUCAGGAGUAGCAGGACAGGAAGACUGGUAACAAGAAAGUAAAGGCAAGGAAUAUAUAUUUACUAGGCUGAAACAUUACUAUCAUAACUGAAAGCCUAGCAUGCCCGUAAUAAUGACCAGCCCUGAAUUUCAAUGUGUUGAUGAGAAUAUGUUGAGCUUCCAUUCUAAAGAGAGAAGUAGUUUGUCCUCAAUGGAAAUAGAAUCUGAAUCUGGAUUUGCUUUAUUUUUGCUUGUCAUUCCUGUACAUGACUUAUACAUGCUGUACCACACAGCUUAGUUUGGGGUUUUUGUUGUUUUGGAUACUGGGGAUUGAACCCAGGGGUGCUUAACCACUGAACCAUAUCCUUAGUCCUUUUUAUUUUUCAUUUUGAGAAAGGGUCUUGCUAAAUUGCUGAGGCUGGCUUUGAACUUGGAAUCCUCCUGCCCUCAGCCUCCAGAGUUGCUGGGAUUACAGGUGUGUACCACCAUGCCUGGCUCCACACACCUUGAUUUCUGUAUCAGUCAGGGAGGGUUCUCUAGAGAAAUAUAGGUUAGGAGGUGGAUAUGUAAUUUUAAGUAUUCCUGUUUUAUGGUGAUAUUAACAACUAUAUGCAUAUAUACACUAGGUUCAUAGUAUGAACAUUUUACAUGUUUUUAAAAUAUUUUGGAAAACACAAUGAGAAUUUCUGAUGUCUUGAAAACAUCUAAAAAACUAUCAGAUGGGUGUAGUGGUGCACACCUAUAGUCCCAGAUACUUCCAGAGUUUGAGGCCAACCUAAGUAACAUAGCAAGGCCCCAUGUCUUUAUAAAAAAGAAAAUGUCCACCUUUUACUUUUUGAUUUAUUCUAAUAAAUUUUUAUAAGUAAGAUUAUAAAUAAUCUCUUAAUUUAUCUUCUCCAUUUUCAAAUAUUAAUAACUGAGUCAUAAAGUGAACAUUUUUAAGGCUCUUGAGUAUACCAAUACAUAUGACUAAACUAUUCUCCAGGAGAAAGACACUACAAUCUAUCCUUCUAGAAGGUAUUAAAGUCCCUAAAUCCUUAUAGCCCUACCAACCACAAUUAAGCAUAAACAUUGUAGACUCUUUUCAAAGUUGAUAGGUGAAAGCACUUUGCUUCUUAAGAAAAUCUGUCUUAGUAUGAUUAUGCUUUUGUAUUUGUCCCUUUAAAGUUUGCUUUCAUUCCUUCAGUGACAGUAAACAUACUGGGAAUUGAGCACAACUGUCUUCCAUUCUCCAUCCCAUUCAUUUCUGCAUAACUCCCCUCUCUAUAAAAUGGGAUGAUGGAAUUAUAUACUUUGGCAUUUCAUAAGGAAACUAAGUUAUUGGAAUGAGAGUUUAACUGGAGCUCUAGUCAGUCCACAUAUAUGUCAUCCAUUUUAACUUCACAUUUAACUUAAGAAACUUUCAUCUCAACACUCAACAUUUAUUAGCUAUGUUAUAGAAAUUAUCGUAGGUCCUGGGGAUAAAAUAGUCAACAAACAAUUCUCUUCCUCAUUUUGUCAGGAAGACGGAUAAAUGAAACAUAUGUCAUAUACUGACACAUGCAAUGGAGGAAAAUAAGACAAAAUAGUAUUUUUAAAAUAGGUUGGUCAGGGAAGGCUGCAUUUAAUGUGACACUUGAGCAGAGAUUGGAAAGAGUAAGCCCUGAAGAUUUUUACAGCAAGAAUAUUCUAGAAAAGAGUCAGGAGUGGUGGCAUCCACCUGUAAUCCCAGAGGCAGGAGGAUUGCAAGUUCAAAGCCAGCCUCAGCAAUUUGGCAAGGCCCUAAGCAAAUUUGUGAGACCCUAUCUCAAAAUUAAGUAUAUAAAAGCUGGGGAUGUGGCUUGGUGUUUAAGCACCCUGGAUUCAAUCCUCAAUACAAAAAAAAAAAAGUAUUCUAGACAAGGAAUACUUUUUGGACUUUUUAAAUAUAAGGCAUACCAGGGAGGCCAGUGUGAGCAAAAACAGCAGUAGGAGGUACGAUCAGGGACAAUGUGAUCUACUCAUGGUGGAAUGGGGGAACUGUUGGAGAUUUUGGAAAGAUCUGACAUAGAGGAGGCUCAGCUAUUGAGCCAGGCAAUGUGUAAGAAUGAGCUUUCAGUCUGGUGGGAAAGAUGACCACAUGCAGAGAUGCUUUUAUUCUCAUAGGAGUAAAAUCUGUGAAGAAGAAAGUCAUAGAGUAUAGUGAGAUCCCAGAGGAAGAGCCCUGGGCAAAGCUUUUUGGAUGAGAUGACAGCAAAACUACUGGAUGCAUGAUUAGGUGUUUGAAAGUGCUUUGUAAGUCAUGAGACAAUAUAUAAAUGUAAAGAGAAUUUUGAAAAUAUCCAUGCAUGUGGAAGCCAAAUGGUCUUGGUAGAAUUUGGUACAAAAAGGUUCCUUCAGAUUCAUCAUCCAGACUCCUUGUUUCCAUAAUUAAACCUUAUGUGCCAACUUUUGAUCACCUUUGUGGUGCUUCUCUGAAUAUCAUCUGAAUGUAUCUAGUCAGUUAUCAUAGCCUAUUAACUGCAUAAUAACUAACCAUAAACUCUCCAGCAUACAUCAUUAAGCAUUAUUUAGCUCAUAGGACUCAGUUUGGGUGGCCUUGCUGCUCUUAGCAAGACUCUUAUUCAACUGCAGCACAGCUCGGAGAUUGGCUGAUGAUCAACAUUGUGGUGGUAGAGACAGGUCUGUUUCACACUGCAGGUGUGUAAGACUGCUCCACCUGUCUCAGCGUCUUUGAAUGAGUGGGUGAGCUACCACAUGUUCCUGUCACAGCAAUGAUAGAAACACAACACUAAGUCUAUCCACCCACGUGCAUUUUAAGCCUCUGCUUGCAAUUAUAUCUACUAAUUUCUCUUGGGAAAAGUAAGUUACAUGGCCAAUGCAUAAGUCAAAGAACAAGGAAAUGCAGUACUUUCAGUGAAGGAGAUUGCAAAGUUACAUUGCAAAGGGCAUGGAUAGAGAGGGGCGUCAAUAACUCAAUCUAGCAGACCACUUUUUGCAUCCUGGUAGUGGAGACGUGUCAUCUUUUCAGUUCAGCUGCCUUACAUCAAGACCUGCUUUUGUUUAGGAAAUUCCUUUUAGAGGAGCCACCUAAUACUACAGAAGCUGAAAGCCCCUGGUAUUUCUGUGCCUAACCUUAUACCUAGAGUAUUUGCAUGUGACUAAGCCUUGGUCAAUCGGGUAUAUCAAACUAAAUUCGUAACCAGUGACUCCAAGAAAUAGAAAUAGUAGAAAGAAUGGUUGAUAAUGGUGUUUCAGGGAUGGCAAUAUAAGGAUGGGGUGGGGGUCCUAACUCUAGUGGCCACAUUCCUUGCCUGGUGCCAGUGGCAGCUGAGGUGCAAGCUGUGGCAUUCAGGAUUUUGCUGUAGCAGUGACCUCACUUGUAACUAUAGCUGUUAAAAUUCCUUCCUAGUCUAUUUUCAAGCCUGGGUCUACCCUAUUCCUGUUGUCUUCAAACUACCCCAUGUCCUAAAAUAUAACCUUUCUGUUUAAUGAGCUGGAAUUGUUUUUUUUAUUGUUUAUAACCAGGAAUCCUAAUUGAUAAAAGAUUCUUUAUUGCUCAUGAAGCCUGAUUGGUAGCCAUUUGUCUGGUCUUCAUGUCCUCUCCAAUCCCAAUUCUCCUUUUAGUGGAAGUAGAUGUCUUAAAAGAACUUAUAUCACAUUGUUGUUUGCUUUAAAAUCCUUCAGUGGUUUUCUCUUGCAUUUACAUACAACUCAAAACUCUUUAGUGGUCUGCAAGGACCUUCAUUGUCUAACCCACCUCCCAGCCACACCUCUUUACAACCUCACCUUGCAACUGACUUUUGAUUACUGGAAACAGGAGCUUCUUCAGCUUUUCAACUUGAGGUCCUGAAGCUAUAAAGGCUUAUAGUCUCCUCAAUUACUUAUGUUACUUAAAUAGUAAAUUUAAUUAUAGCUAAAAAGUUACCAUAUUCAUAAACAAAUACUAUAUUUAUUCUUCCUCUGAGAUUGCCUCAUUAAUCCAUAGAAAGAAGAUUAUUUUAUAACUAUUUCUAUAUUAUAAUCCUCUGCAUAAGUCUUAAGUGAAAUGAAGCCAUAAUGGCAAUCAAUUGCUGGCAUCAUACAACCAACAUCCAUCUAGGUAAAAAUAAAAUAAAAUAAAAUAAAAUGAAACUAUUGAACCAGGCCCAGUGGUACAUACAUACUUGUAAUCCCAGUGAAUGGGGAGGCUAAAGCAGGAGGAUCUCAAGUGUGAAGCCAGCCUCAGCAAUUAAGCAAGAUCUUCAACAACUGAGCAAGAUCCUGUCUCAAAAAGGAAAAGAAGGACUGGGAUGUAACUCAGUGGUAAAGUGCCCCUGGGUUCAAUCCCCAUUAUUAAAAAAAAAAAAAAAACAAAAAACGGGGGGUUUGAACUUCUUGAUUGCAAGCAUUUUUUUUCACCACAAGUUGUUUAUUUUAUAAUACAAAAAAGAUAGCUUUGCCUAUGCUAAAUCUUCAUACAAACAAAAUCAUCUGUUAUGUAUUCUUUGGUAUCUGGCUUCUUUUCAAUCAGUGUGUUUUUGUGAUUUGUUUAUACAGUUGUAUAUAUAAGUGGUUUGUUCCUUUUUGUUGCCAAACAAUAUCCAUUUUUAUUGCCAAAUAAUACCCAUUGUAUGAAUAUAUCAUGGCAUUUUUAACUAUUCUGCUAAUGGACACCUAUUUGUAGAUUUUAGGCAUGAUGAGUAACUUUGCUAUAAAUAUUCUUAUGCAGGUCUUUUUGUGGAUAUAUGUUUUUAUUUCUCUUGAAUAAAUUCAUAGCAAUAGAAUUGCUGGGUCACAAAGUAAAACUAUUUUUAACUUUUAAAGAAAUUAAUAGUUUUCGAAAGUGAUUAAUUUUAUAUUCUCACUGCCAAUGUACAAGAAUUCCUGUUGUUCCUUGUUUAGUAUUGUCAGUCUUUUUCAUUUAAUUUUAGUCAUUCUGUUGGGAAGUGAUAUUGGUAUCUCAUGACUUUGAUUUUCAUUGCUGAUGACUGUUGAUGUUGCAAAUAUUUUCAUGUGCUUGUUGGUCUUUUUCAUUUAAAUGUUUAUAUUAGUUGUAGAUGGACACAAUACAUUUAUUUUAUUUAUUUGUUUUUAUCUGGUGCCUCCCCUGUGCUAGGCAAGUGCUCUACCACUGAGCUACAGCCCAAACCCCAUUGUUGUCCUUUUUAAAAAUGUCUGUUCAAGUCCUUUGCUCAUUUUAAAAAUUAGUGUAGGCUGAGGUUGUAGCUCAGGGGUAUAACACUUGCCUACCAUGUGCAAAGCCCUGGGUUCAAGUCCCAGCACUGCAAAAAGAUGGAUUCUCCAAAGAACUGAACCAAUAUACCUCCUGUUAAUAGCACACACACAUGCACAUGUAUAUUUCUAGAAUGAGAUUUUGAGGUAUUGACAAAUUCAGUUGUGCAGUCUAAGAAAUAACAUGUCUAUUGUCUGCAAACUGGAGAUCCAGGAAAACUGUUGAUAGCAUCUGAAGGCCUAAGAGCCAAUGAUGUAGAUCCAUACUGAUUUUGAAUGCCUGAGAACCAGACUGCUUCAGGAAGGAAGACUGAUGUCUCAACACAAUAGGAAAAGAGAAUUCAACCUUCCUCCAUUACCUUUUUGUUCUUUUCAGGUCCUUAAUGGAUUGAAUGAUGCCCACUCACACUGGAGAGAGCUGUGAGGCAACUCAGUUCACAAAUUCAAAGGCUAAUCUUUUCUUGAAGUGUUCUUACAGACACAUCCAGAAAUAAUGUUUAACCAGAUAUCUGGGCAUCCUGUAGCCCAGUCAAGUUGACACAAAAUUAACCAUUGCAAGUUAUUUUUAUUACUUAAUUGCAUAUUAGGUUCUUUAUUAUAUACAUGUAUUACAAAUAAUUUCUCCCAGUCUAUAGGUUGUUUUCAUUUUCUAAUUGGUAUAUUUACAAAAGAAUUUUUUAACUUUGACAAAAUCCUAUUGGCUAACUUAAUUUUUUAUGGUUAGUGCUUUCUGUAUUUUGACACCUUUGUGUACCUAUGGCUGCAAAAACUAUUCUAUACUUUUUUCCAAGAAGUUUUAUCAUUUUAACUUUUAUGUUUAGGCUUAGGGUCCAUGUUGAAUUAAUUUAUAUGCAUGGUAUAAAAUAGAAGUAAAAAUUCUGCCUGUAAUCCCAGCGGCUCAUGAAGCUGGGGCAGGCAGAUUUCAAGUUUAAAGCCAGCCUCAGCAACUUAGUGAGGCCCUAAGCAACUGAGACCCUUUCUCAAAAUAAAAUAUAAAAGGUCUGGGGAUAUGGCUCAGUGGUUAAGUGCCCUUGGGUUUAAUCCUUAGUACCAAAAAAAGAAGUCAAAAUUCUUUGCCAUCAUCUAUGUGCAUAUCUAAUUGCUCCAACACUAUUUGUUCAAGAGUCUGUCCUUAUCCCUUGUAUUUGUAUUGCUCUCAGGUUGAAAAUAAUUUGACACAAGUGUGGGUUUAUGCUAGACUCCUUUUAUUAUAUUCUAUUAUUUGUCUAUUCUUUUGCCCAUACCACACUGUUGCAAGCACUCUGAGUUAUUUUAUGGAUUAUGUAUAAUAAUAUUAGAGUUCAAAUAUGGUUAUGAGGUCUUGUAAUUAAUUACUAAAGCUUAAAUAUCUCGCAUAAUUGCAGACUUGCUCAUUUUACAAGCUUUUAUGGAAAUUGCCGCUCAGUGCAUAGGUCAAUGAAAUGAAGAUACUAGGAAGCAUUCUGCUGCAGUGUAAGUAGGAAAACAGAUGCUUUGAACUGCCAAAUAACAGAGAGAGUACAAAUACAGAUUAUUAAAUUCAACUUUUUCCUUUACAAACUGAUGAGAUCUAGGAUUAUUUAAUGUCAUUAUUAGAAUCCCUGAUAAAACUAGAAAGCACUUUUCUUUGACAAAUUAUCAAAACAAGUAACGAAUAAUGAAAUACUUGAAGUGGUGCAUGAAAUUUUUUUUAAUAUUUACUUUUUAGUUUUAGGUGGACAAAAUAUCUUAUUUCAUUUUUAUAUGAUGCUGAGGAUUGAACCCAGUGCCCCAUGCGUGCUAAGUGAGCGCUCUACCACUGAGCCCCAACCCCAGCCCUUUUUAUUUUAUUUUGAGAUAGGGUUUUGCUAAAUUGCUGAAGGCUGUCCUUGAACUUGUGAUCCUCCUGCUUCAGCCUCUGGAAUCACUGGGAUUACAGAUGUGUGUCACUGUGCCAGAAUAACAGACAUUUUGACCACUAGAAUGAACUCAGUAGAAAAUUGUUAAGGAUGUAAUGACGUAUGUUAAUGCUGACUGACAAUUGUUUUGUAUUCAAAGAAAACAACAACAACAACAACAAAAAAGUUUAAAUGUUUUAAUAGGAUGUUAAAUCAGUAUUACAGUUUUAUUUUAUUUUAUUUUAUUUUAUUUUUUUUUUAAAUAUUUAUUUAUUUAUUUUUUAGAUGUAGAU